AAGGGAGACCUAAUUCCGGUAGGAGACGAAAAAAAAGUAGUCCCUACCAAGAAUCAAUCCCAAAAGGUCGGAGCGAGGCAAAAUUGGCUUUCAAACUAGGUUCUGGGUUCACACAAGACCUGAAUCAGGAACAAGGGCUAUUAGCUCAGGUGGUUAGAGCGCACCCCUGAUAAGGGUGAGGUCCCUGGUUCGAGUCCAGGAUGGCCCACCUGCACAGGUGGAAGAAAGAAAAAAGCUCCGAAUCAGCACCUUAUCUUACUUAUAUAGUAAGAGAGAAUGCUGGCUCUGAGUACAGAGUCCAGAGGAACCAUGAAAACUGCAUAGAGCUAGGUGAAAAAGCCAAAAAAGAAGACCGCAAGGUCAAGCUAAUAAGGGCUAACGGU
RNAcentral lists this transfer RNA (383 nucleotides) under Microcystis sp. KLL-C018. RNAcentral describes it as "16S-23S ribosomal RNA intergenic spacer". The stretch from base 135 to 208 matches the Rfam family "tRNA". The record is from RNAcentral. Lineage: Bacteria; Bacillati; Cyanobacteriota; Cyanophyceae; Chroococcales; Microcystaceae.